RNAcentral lists this ribosomal RNA (440 nucleotides) under uncultured bacterium. Its description in RNAcentral is "SSU rRNA". It matches the Rfam family "Bacterial small subunit ribosomal RNA", at positions 26 to 518 of the family's 1533-position model. The record is from RNAcentral.
AGAACGAACGCUGGCGGCACGCCUAACACAUGCAAGUCGAGCGCCCAGCAAUGGGAGCGGCGGACGGGUGAGUAACACGUGGGAACAUGCCUUUCGGUACGGAACAACUGCGGGAAACUGCAGCUAAUGCCGUAUACGCCCUUACGGGGAAAGAUUUAUCGCCGAAAGAUUGGCCCGCGUCUGAUUAGCUAGUUGGUGAGGUAACGGCUCACCAAGGCUUCGAUCAGUAGCUGGUUUGAGAGAACGACCAGCCACAUUGGGACUGAGACACGGCCCAAACUCCUACGGGAGGCAGCAGUGGGGAAUCUGGACAAUGGGGAAACCCUGAUCCAGCGAUGCCGCGUGAGUGAUGAAGGCCUUGGGUUGUAAAACUCUUUCGACGGGACGAUAAUGACGGUACCCGUAGAAGAAGCUCCGGCUAACUUCGCGCCAGCAGCCGC